GAUGAACGCUAGCGGCAGGCCUAACACAUGCAAGUCGAGGGGUAACUAGAGUGAUAGCAAUAUUACUUUGGCUAGACCGGCGCACGGGUGCGCAACACGUAUGCAACCUACCUUAUACUGGGGAAUAACUUCGAGAAAUCGGCGCUAAUACCCCAUAACACUGCGGAGAGGCAUCUCUUUGCAGUUAAAGCUCCGGCGGUAUAAGAUGGGCAUGCGUCCAAUUAGCUAGUUGGUGAGGUAACGGCUCACCAAGGCUACGAUUGGUAGGGGUUCUGAGAGGAUGAUCACCCACACUGGUACUGAGACACGGACCAGACUCCUACGGGAGGCAGCAGUGAGGAAUAUUGCGCAAUGGACGAAAGUCUGACGCAGCCAUGCCGCGUGCAGGAUGACGGCCCUAUGGGUUGUAAACUGCUUUUGUACGGGAAUAAACCCUUCUACGUGUAGGAGGCUGAAGGUACCGUAAGAAUAAGCACCGGCUAACUCCGUGCCAGCCGCCGCAGUAA
Molecule: ribosomal RNA, 506 nt
Filed under: uncultured bacterium
Lineage: Bacteria
Description: partial 16S ribosomal RNA
Rfam family: Bacterial small subunit ribosomal RNA
Source: RNAcentral